Molecule: ribosomal RNA, 468 nt
Filed under: uncultured Glomus
Lineage: Eukaryota; Fungi; Glomeromycota; Glomeromycetes; Glomerales; Glomeraceae
Description: SSU rRNA
Rfam family: Eukaryotic small subunit ribosomal RNA
Source: RNAcentral
CUCGUAGUUGAAUUUCGGGAUCAAUAUAACGGUCAUGCCGUUGGUAUGCACUGUUAUAAUUGAUUUCUCACCUUCUAAAGAACCGUAAUGCCAUUAAUUUGGUGUCACGGGGAAUUAGGACUGUUACCUUGAAAAAAUUAGAGUGUUUAAAGCAGGCUAACGCUUGAAUACAUUAGCAUGGAAUAAUGAAAUAGGACGUUCGAUCUUAUUUUGUUGGUUUCUAAGAUUGACGUAAUGAUUAAUAGGGAUAGUUGGGGACAUUAGUAUUCAAUUGUCAGAGGUGAAAUUCUUGGAUUUAUUGAAGACUAACUACUGCGAAAGCAUUUGCCAAGGAUGUUUUCAUUAAUCAGUGAACGAAAGUUAGGGGAUCGAAGACGAUCAGAUACCGUCGUAGUCUUAACCAUAAACUAUGCCGACUAGGGAUCGGACGGGAUUCUUUUUUGACCCGUUCGGCGCCUUACGGGAAAC